Molecule: ribosomal RNA, 460 nt
Filed under: uncultured bacterium
Lineage: Bacteria
Description: partial 16S ribosomal RNA
Rfam family: Bacterial small subunit ribosomal RNA
Source: RNAcentral
CCUACGGGAGGCAGCAGUGAGGAAUAUUGGUCAAUGGACGAGAGUCUGAACCAGCCAAGUAGCGUGAAGGAUGACUGCCCUAUGGGUUGUAAACUUCUUUUAUAUGGGAAUAAAACGUUCCACGUGUGGGAUUUUGUAUGUACCAUAUGAAUAAGGAUCGGCUAACUCCGUGCCAGCAGCCGCGGUAAUACGGAGGAUCCGAGCGUUAUCCGGAUUUAUUGGGUUUAAAGGGAGCGUAGGUGGAUUGUUAAGUCAGCUGUGAAAGUUUGCGGCUCAACCGUAAAAUUGCAGUUGAAACUGGCAGUCUUGAGUACAGUAGAGGUGGGCGGAAUUCGUGGUGUAGCGGUGAAAUGCUUAGAUAUCACGAAGAACUCCGAUUGCGAAGGCAGUUCACUGGACUGCAACUGACACUGAGGCUCGAAAGUGUGGGUAUCAAACAGGAUUAGAUACCCGAGUAGUC